GUCUUUGUAGCGCAAUCGGUAAGCGCUUUUGGCUGUUAACUGAAAGGUUGGUGGUUCAAGCCCACCCAGGAACA
This 74-nucleotide transfer RNA is filed under the name Danio rerio (zebrafish). It matches the Rfam family "tRNA". Rfam says of the family: Transfer RNA (tRNA) molecules are approximately 80 nucleotides in length. Their secondary structure includes four short double-helical elements and three loops (D, anti-codon, and T loops). Further hydrogen bonds mediate the characteristic L-shaped molecular structure. tRNAs have two regions of fundamental functional importance: the anti-codon, which is responsible for specific mRNA codon recognition, and the 3' end, to which the tRNAs corresponding amino acid is attached (by aminoacyl-tRNA synthetases). tRNAs cope with the degeneracy of the genetic code in two manners: having more than one tRNA (with a specific anti-codon) for a particular amino acid; and 'wobble' base-pairing, i.e. permitting non-standard base-pairing at the 3rd anti-codon position. The record is from Rfam by way of RNAcentral. Lineage: Eukaryota; Metazoa; Chordata; Actinopteri; Cypriniformes; Danionidae.